Molecule: RNA transcript, 3837 nt
Organism: Manis pentadactyla (Chinese pangolin)
Lineage: Eukaryota; Metazoa; Chordata; Mammalia; Pholidota; Manidae
Gene name: CD48 antigen-like
Exons: 5
Source: RefSeq, a predicted model, not a curated record
AGAUGUUGCCUCUGCAGCCAAGCUCGCGGGCAGGCAGCCUGCCAUGGGGUCCUGCUCAGGAGACCCCCGCCUCUGCUGGGCCACCUGGCUCCUGCGAUGCUCUAGCCUCCUCCUUGGUGCCUGCAGCACUGUGGCCAACAGCUCCGGAGCCCACGUGUAUCUGAACAGGACCCAGGGAGGCUGUGUGUUGUUUCACGCGGCCCGGGAGGCAGGAGCUGAGCUCAAGGAGAUCUCGUGGGGCUUCGGCCCUGAGUCCGACUACAGAGUCAUCCUGCGGGUCCAUUCUGGCGCGGACUCUCCCACCUGGGUCAGCCUCUGGGACAAGUAUGAGCAGAGGGUCCACGUGCCCAACAUGACGUCCCUGAGGAUCGACAACCUGACGCGCGAGGACAGCGGGCAGUACCGGGCUCGAGGCAGCCUCACCGGAGGAAGAGAAUUUAACCUGAAUUUCCACCUCACUGUCUGCGCACCCGUGCCCCUUCCCCAGAUCCGGGUCACUUCCUCAUCCAUCACACCAGGCCGGUGCCACAUCACCCUUGAGUGCAGGGCCCAGGGGACCAUGGAGGACCUGAAGGUGAACUGGGAGAGCAAAGGCCUCCCCAAGGAGCUGGAGCAGAGAGGGACCCCGGGACCAGCCCCCAACUCGUGGACCCUGGAUCUGAGCCUGCCCCUGAGCCAGCCCAACCCCAGGCUCACCUGUGUGCUGAGCAACCCGCUUGACCAGAAAACUGCCACCACAGACCUUGGGGCCAUCUGUGUCCCUGCAAGUUCACAUGCACAGACCAAGGCUCGGACCCUGCCAGGCAUCCUGGGGGCCACCGUCACUGUGCUGCUCAUCCUUGGAGCUGGACUGUGGCUUUGGAAGACGCGUGGGAAGAAGAAGAAGAUGGAGACUGGGAGAGGCAGGUGGCUCUUGUCCUUGCAGCCCAGCUACCGCCCUUCUCCCAUUGUACCCUAUAUGCUCUCUUUCUCCUGCAUUUUGCUGCUCAGGGAAUGUCCCAGAGGAGGGGAGGGUGGGUGUGGCCAUGACCUUGGGGUUCAUAGCAGUGCGGGAGGGUAGAGGUUUCCAGGGUCCAGCUUCAAGCUCCGCUCCGUGUGUGACGCAGGUGCAGGCCUGCAGGAGGAGCACAGGGACGAGGAUGGUGGCAUGUACUAUGCAGAGCUGAGCCCACAGGUGCCUCAGGAGGGCAGGGACAAGGUGUUCGAGGAGCUCUCUAUCAUGCAGCUGUUCCAGGAACCAUCUGUGUUGCACUCCCAGAGUAUCAGUGAGCAACAUCUGCAAGACAAGGAGCAUCUCAUGUCUGUCUACAGUGUGGUCCAUAAGCCAGGUCAGGCCAUGAAGAUGAGUUAAGGAUGCAGGAGAAUCCAGGCCCCCCCAAGACACCUGCUCUCUGAGCUGAUCCCUGCAGACGCUGCCUUUGCCAGCUUGGUCCAGCUCCAACCACCCCUGGUCUGUGUGGCUGUGACCCUGGAGCCCUCAAAGCCCUGGGCACACAUGGUCCUGCCACUUCCUCUGACCUUCUCUGAGCUGCCUUCAGAGUGUCAAGUGCAUUCCUAUUAUGCAAAUAGAAUGAUUAUUCCCAGGAAACUGCAACACUGAUGUUAACCAACUUGUCCAGGUCACAUAACUGAUAAGAAUUGAGACUGAAAUCUUGGAGCUGGAAUCUAAGCCCUUGCUCGUGACCACUAUAUACUGGGUAAAUGAAGUAUAGAUGGAAUUAUAUUUACGCAGUAAGGAUGAAAUUACAUCUUUAUGUAUUUAAAUGGAAAGUUGUCCAUGAAAUAUUAAGUGGGUUAUGGAACAACAUGUAUGGCAUUAUCUUGUGUUAUAAAUGUAUAUAAACAUAUGUUUAUGUGAGCAUAAAGGAAGUCUAAAAGCUGAUAGGUCAAGAAGGUAACAGUGGUUAUCUUCUGAAAUCUCUUUCUGUGUCAUCAUAUUAUCUAUAACACUAACCAAAAAAGAUGAUCGAUUUCAAUGUUUCAGCAGGGCAGUGAUAGGCUCAGAGCUGUGCUUCAGACAGAUAAAGCCACCUGUGUGCCAACAGGAAGCCUGUCAUGGAAACCAGUGAAAGUAUUUAUGCUCAUUUUCACUUCCUGUUGUGUUGAAUUGGUGGCUUCAGGAUCUUUACUGAAAUAACCCCAGCCACACCUGGAUUUGUCUAGAUAGUAAAGACAGAGUAAAGUUUAGGUCUAAGUGAUCUAAACGGACACUCCCCAUGGAUUGCUCAUGACCCUGGCUGUUUCUUGGAUUAACUGGGGAGCAUUUGAAAACAGAUGCUUGGACUCUAUCCCCAAAUGGAGCAUCAUCUAUAUUUAGAAUACAACCUAAUGGUUGAUACUGAUGCACCAUUCAGAUCAGGGUUGAGAACUAAAGGUUUAGGUCUGCAUGAAGUCUUCACAAAGUUCAAAAGGGAAUGUGCAUGGCAAGGAGAGGCCGAGGGUUUGUGUUCCAAGACGUUUCUCAGCGUGCGCUCAGUCCACAGCCCAGUAAUGUGGAGGGAAGGAAUGGGUGACUGACAGGGCCGCACGGGUUGGCAUUACUUGCUUGUGUUCACCACGGUUCACACUCUGAUGCGUAGACUAUGAGACAGAGUCCAGAGGCUCCAUUUCAUCCAUUGCUGAUUUGCCUUGGGGAAGCAAAAUCUUGCUGGCAAACGUCAAAAGGCACAGACAGACAAAACCAGAAUGUUUAGUAAUUUACAGUGAGACGUAUACUUGCUAACUGGGCUGGAUAUGCCUGUUAGCCUGACCAGGGCAUCCUCCUCCCGAAGACAAGCCAGGCAGGAAGUCAGGGUAUCGCCUGGGAAGCCCUGAGUCCAGGCGGGUGAGCAGCCGCUUGUGGGGUGGAUUCCGGAGGCCUCGGGGCUGAGCUCUGCAUCUCCACGGUCGCGUUUAUCUGCCCGGGCCCGGGGCUCUCCUGCCCGGGUGGCAGAGCCCUUCAUUUGUCUCUGUCGCUCUCCUCUCUUUAUGCUCCAUUUCUUGCUAACAGAACUUCUGACUGACAUAUUCUUUCUUUGCUCAUGUGCAUGUGUGAGAUUAGUCUUGCUCUGCUCUCUGAGCGGGAAUCUCUAUACCUCUUUUGGGAUCCAGAUAUGUGGUGUUUUAUUUAAUCCCCCCAAACCAAAGACAAAGAAAGAAAGAAACAAACAAACAAACAAAAACCCCACCCAAAACAUCCACUCUUAUUUCUCUCAUUUCCAGACUGUAGUAGUAAAGGCUGUGAGGGGAGAUGACGCCCCCUCAAUAUGCCACGUACCGCCAACUGACCGACUAAUUGCUUUUAUAAACAGACCCAAAGAGAAAAGCUGUGAACUGAUUAAUGGAUCCUGUAGCUCUCAGGGUUGGAAUCUUCACCAAUUUUAUCACUUAGUGCAGACAAAAUUCUAAGAAAAUAUAAUAUGUAAUUUCCGUCUACUGAUUUUAAAAAUCUUCAUUAAAUCGAGAAUUUCUAGAAAAGUAUGUAUUGUCAAAUUUGAUUUACAUGUGUAUAUAAACCUCAAAAAGUCAACACAGUAAAUAUUAUAAAAUUUAUAUAAGUAAUUUUCUCCUUUGAGGGCAUAAGGGCCAAAUUCUACUAUUGGUGAACUCCUCAAAUCUGAAAGAAGAGCUAAUUUUUGUGCUAACAAAUAUGUUUUUAAAACUUGACAGACAAUAGAAAGCUUCCAUUUAUGAUUCUAAACCCUUGACAAAGCAUGUAAAAGACAUGAAGUCCCAGUCCGGCCGUCCAGGCUGCCUGAGCGCCUCCCGUGUCCCUGCGUCCGCUGGGGCCUCUCGUGACGGAGCUCCCAGCUUCCCCAGGAGCCCGAGGAGCAGAGGCCUUGGGCCAGCACCGCCCAC